GAUGAACGCUGGCGGCGUGCCUAAUACAUGCAAGUCGAACGAAACUUCUUUAUCACCGAGUGCUUGCACUCACCGAUAAAGAGUUGAGUGGCGAACGGGUGAGUAACACGUGGGCAACCUGCCCAAAAGAGGGGGAUAACACUUGGAAACAGGUGCUAAUACCGCAUAACCAUAGUUACCGCAUGGUAACUAUGUAAAAGGUGGCUAUACUACCGCUUUUGGAUGGGCCCGCGGCGCAUUAGCUAGUUGGUAGGGUAAAGGCUUACCAAGGCAAUGAUGCGUAGCCGAAUUGAGAGGUUGAUCGGCCACAUUGGGACUGAGACACGGCCCAAACUCCUACGGGAGGCAGCAGUAGGGAAUCUUCCACAAUGGGCGAAAGCCUGGUGGAGCAACGCCGCGUGGGUGAAGAAGGUCUUCGGAUCGUAAAACCCUGUUGUUAGAGAAGAAAGUGCGUGAGAGUAACUGUUCACGUUUCGACGGUAUCUAACCAGAAAGCCACUGCUAACUACGUG
This 512-nucleotide ribosomal RNA is filed under the name uncultured bacterium. RNAcentral describes it as "partial 16S ribosomal RNA". It matches the Rfam family "Bacterial small subunit ribosomal RNA", at positions 28 to 507 of the family's 1533-position model. The record is from RNAcentral.